Molecule: ribosomal RNA, 483 nt
Filed under: uncultured bacterium
Lineage: Bacteria
Description: partial 16S ribosomal RNA
Rfam family: Bacterial small subunit ribosomal RNA
Source: RNAcentral
GACGAACGCUGGCGGCGUGCUUAACACAUGCAAGUCGAACGAUGAAGCUGGAGCUUGCUCCGGUGGAUUAGUGGCGAACGGGUGAGUAACACGUGAGCAAUCUGCCCUUCACUCUGGGAUAACUGCGGGAAACUGUAGCUAAUACCGGAUACGAGACCUUGGGGCAUCCCAGGGUCUGGAAAGAAUUUCGGUGAAGGAUGAGCUCGCGGCCUAUCAGCUAGUUGGUGAGGUAAUGGCUCACCAAGGCGACGACGGUUAGCCGGCCUGAGAGGGUGACCGGCCACACUGGGACUGAGACACGGCCCAGACUCCUACGGGAGGCAGCAGUGGGGAAUAUUGCACAAUGGGCGAAAGCCUGAUGCAGCAACGCCGCGUGAGGGAUGAAGGCCUUCGGGUUGUAAACCUCUUUUAGUAGGGAAGAAGCGCAAGUGACGGUACCUACAGAAGAAGCACCGGCUAACUACGUGCCAGCAGCCGCCGUAA